ACAAUGAUACUCCUGUUUAGUCACAGGUCGAGCGUUGAAGCGGCAAAUCUUUUGCCGUGAGCCGUCGCAACCAAUGAGGGCAGCCGGUAGAGAACCUGCCGGGGGUGAGAUUCCCGUGG
This 119-nucleotide non-coding RNA is filed under the name unclassified sequences. RNAcentral describes it as "pemK RNA". It matches the Rfam family "pemK RNA". The record is from RNAcentral.